Molecule: long non-coding RNA, 633 nt
Filed under: Mustela putorius furo (domestic ferret)
Lineage: Eukaryota; Metazoa; Chordata; Mammalia; Carnivora; Mustelidae
Description: lncRNA (ENSMPUG00000025891.1)
Source: RNAcentral
CAUUCUUAAAGUGAAAGCGUGGCCAUUGUAAAGUCCCAAGGCAGGGUUUCAUCAGUUAUAUGACCCAGCAGGUCUGGGACUAGGUACCUUCUUCAUUUCCGGGCUUGGCAAUUGCAGGUAACUGAAAAUACAAUUGUUCAACUGGUCUGUUGCCUCAUACACAAAUCCCACACUAGCCAUGAAUGAGGAGAUCCUUAUGAUGUCAGAAACACAUCUAAGAAUGAUAUCACUUUAAGGGCUUGCCCUCUAGCUAUUCUUGGAACCCUGCCUCUGCCACGCUUAAAGAGCCCAAGCUAGCCUGACCGAUGGUGAGAGGCACGUGGACCAUUUACCCCCGUUGCCCUCGUCAACAUCCCACCAACUGCCAACCAUGCAGUAUCAGUAAUUGCAUGGUUUCAAGUUGUUGAAGAACUAUGGAUGGAGCAAAGAUGGACUUGAAUUUCCAGCCAACAGGAUGCCAUUCAGAGGUGAGUGAUGAUCCCUAGUAAUGUCAUCUCUGGGAACAUUUUCAGUCUUGGGGCCAAGACCAAGGGUUACACUUGAAGUGACUUACUCAGAGGCACAGUCCUAAGGGAAAGAGAAACUACUAAGUCUUCUGACAUUUGAAAUACCAUAUUAGAAAUUUAAGACACC